CGGAAAAGUGAUGAAAAGGGAAUCAGGUGUAAAUCCUGAACAGACCCGCUGCUGUAAGCUCUACUAAAAUCUUUGAACAAUACUCAAGCCACUGUUCAACAAUGAAUGGGAAGGACGAUUCAAAGAUGGAGUAAGUCAGAAGACCUGCCAAGAUUAUUAU
This 160-nucleotide non-coding RNA is filed under the name uncultured Dysgonomonas sp. Lineage: Bacteria; Pseudomonadati; Bacteroidota; Bacteroidia; Bacteroidales; Dysgonomonadaceae. The record is from RNAcentral.